AUACGGAGGGUGCAAGCGUUACUCGGAAUCACUGGGCGUAAAGCGCGCGCAGGCGGCCAUUUAAGUUGGAUGUGCAAGCCUACGGCUCAACCGUAGAACUGCAUCCAAAACUAUUUGGCUAGAGUGUGGGAGAGGAAGAUGGAAUUAGUUGUGUAGGAGUAAAAUCCGUAGAGAUAACUAGGAAUACCAAAAGCGAAGGCAAUCUUCUGGAACACUACUGACGCUGAGGCGCGAAAGCGUGGGUAGCAAACAGGAUUAGAAACCCUAGUAGUCC
This 274-nucleotide ribosomal RNA is filed under the name uncultured bacterium. Its description in RNAcentral is "partial 16S ribosomal RNA". It matches the Rfam family "Bacterial small subunit ribosomal RNA", at positions 523 to 796 of the family's 1533-position model. The record is from RNAcentral.